UACGUAGGGUGCGAGCGUUAAUCGGAAUUACUGGGCGUAAAGCGUGCGCAGGCGGUUUUGUAAGCCAGAUGUGAAAUCCCCGGGCUUAACCUGGGAAUGGCAUUUGGGACUGCAAGGCUGGAGUGUGGCAGAGGAGACUGGAAUUCCCGGUGUAGCAGUGAAAUGCGUAGAUAUCGGGAGGAACAUCAGUGGCGAAGGCGACACCCUGGACUCAUACUGACACUGAGGUGCGAAAGCGUGGGGAGCAAACAGG
Molecule: ribosomal RNA, 253 nt
Filed under: uncultured bacterium
Lineage: Bacteria
Description: partial 16S ribosomal RNA
Rfam family: Bacterial small subunit ribosomal RNA
Source: RNAcentral